UUAAGCAUAUCAAUAAGCGGAGGAAAAGAAACCAACAGGGAUUCCCCUAGUAACGGCGAGUGAAGCGGGAACAGCUCAAAUUUGAAAUCUGGCCCUUGGGUCCGAGUUGUAAUUUGCAGAGGAUGCUUUUGGUGCGGUGCCUUCCGAGUUCCCUGGAACGGGACGCCUUAGAGGGUGAGAGCCCCGUACGGUUGGCCACCAAGCCUGUGUAAAGCUCCUUCGACGAGUCGAGUAGUUUGGGAAUGCUGCUCAAAAUGGGAGGUAUAUUUCUUCUAAAGCUAAAUACUGGCCAGAGACCGAUAGCGCACAAGUAGAGUGAUCGAAAGAUGAAAAGCACUUUGAAAAGAGGGUUAAAUAGCACGUGAAAUUGUUGAAAGGGAAGGAUUUAUGACCAGACUUUUUCUAGGGGGAUCAUCCGGUGUUCUCACCGGUGCACUUCCCCUAGUUGAGGCCAGCAUCGGUUUCUGUCGGGGGAUAAAAGCUUCGGGAAUGUGGCUCCCUCCGGGGAGUGUUAUAGCCCGUUGCAUAAUACCCUGACGGGGACCGAGGUUCGCGCAUUGCAAGGAUGCUGGCGUAAUGGUUAUUAAUCACCCGUCUUGAAACACGGACCAAGGAGUCGAACAUUUGUGCGAGUGUUUGGGUGUUAAACCCUCACGCGUAAUGAAAGUGAACGGAGGUGAGAGCCCUUCGGGGUGCAUCAUCGACCGAUCCUGAUGUCUUCGGAUGGAUUUGAGUAAGAGCAUAACUGUUCGGACCCGAAAGAUGGUGAACUAUGCGUGGAUAGGGUGAAGCCAGAGGAAACUCUGGUGGAGGCUCGCAGCGGUUCUGACGUGCAAAUCGAUCGUCAAAUCUGCGCAUGGGGGCGAAAGACUAAUCGAACC
This 881-nucleotide ribosomal RNA is filed under the name Apiospora rasikravindrae. RNAcentral's name for it is "Arthrinium rasikravindrae partial large subunit ribosomal RNA". It matches the Rfam family "Eukaryotic large subunit ribosomal RNA", at positions 34 to 941 of the family's 3401-position model. The record is from RNAcentral. Lineage: Eukaryota; Fungi; Ascomycota; Sordariomycetes; Amphisphaeriales; Apiosporaceae.